This 206-nucleotide transfer-messenger RNA is filed under the name Helicobacter pylori. RNAcentral describes it as "partial transfer-messenger RNA". It matches the Rfam family "transfer-messenger RNA", at positions 182 to 374 of the family's 374-position model. Rfam says of the family: Bacterial tmRNA, also known as 10Sa RNA or SsrA, is named for its dual tRNA and mRNA-like properties. Lineage: Bacteria; Pseudomonadati; Campylobacterota; Epsilonproteobacteria; Campylobacterales; Helicobacteraceae. The record is from RNAcentral.
UCCAUAACCUUAAGCUAGACGCUUUUAAAAGGUGGUUCGCCUUUUAAACUAAGAAACAAGAACUCUUGAAACUACCUCAAGGUUUUAGAAAGUUGGACCAGAGCUAGUUUUAAGGCUAAAAAACUAACCAAUUUUCUAAGCAUUGUAGAAGUUUGUGUUUAGGACAAGAUUUUUGGACUGGGGUUCGAUUCCCCACAGCUCCACCA